GUGCUCACUUUGGUGGCAUAUAUACUAAAAAUGGAAUGAUACAGAGAUUAACAUGGCCUCUGUGCAGGGAUGGUACAAAAUUUGUGAAGAAGAAAGAAAGAAA
RNAcentral lists this small nuclear RNA (103 nucleotides) under Nannospalax galili (Upper Galilee mountains blind mole rat). The record is from RNAcentral. Lineage: Eukaryota; Metazoa; Chordata; Mammalia; Rodentia; Spalacidae.